RNAcentral lists this ribosomal RNA (468 nucleotides) under uncultured delta proteobacterium. RNAcentral describes it as "bacterial SSU rRNA". It matches the Rfam family "Bacterial small subunit ribosomal RNA", at positions 401 to 859 of the family's 1533-position model. The record is from RNAcentral. Lineage: Bacteria; Deltaproteobacteria.
GUGAGUGAUGAAGGCUUUCGGGUCGUAAAGCUCUGUCGAGUGGGAAGAAAAUGCCUGAUGCAAAUACCAUCAUGCAUUGACGGUACCACUGAAGGAAGCACCGGCUAACUCCGUGCCAGCAGCCGCGGUAAUACGGGGGGUGCAAGCGUUAUUCGGAAUUAUUGGGCGUAAAGAGCGCGUAGGCGGCUCUAUAAGUCAGAUGUGAAAGCCCGGGGCUUAACCCCGGAAGUGCAUUUGAAACUAUAGGGCUUGAGUAUGGGAGAGGGAAGUGGAAUUCCUGGUGUGGAGGUGAAAUUCGUAGAUAUCAGGAGGAACAUCGGUGGCGAAGGCGACUUCCCGGACCAAUACUGACGCUGAGGCGCGAAGGCGUGGGGAGCAAACAGGAUUAGAUACCCUGGUAGUCCACGCAGUAAACGUUGAACACUAGGUGUAGCGGGUAUUGACCCCUGCUGUGCCGCAGUUAACGCA